CCCUGCCCUUCCCUUCCUGCCCCUUGUUCUCCUGCCCCCCUCGUUUCAUGCUCCCCAUCAAGGGUACUCAAGUAAAGCGUGAUCUGAGUGGAAUCCUGAUAUGGUGGCUGUUCUUUCUCGCCAGUCGAGAGGUCCGCCACAAGCGGACGUGGCUGUACACGCAUGUGCCUCGUUGUCCGUGUAGAGCUCAGAGGACACCGUGGGUUCUGGGGAUCCAGCUGAUAUCAUCAGACUUGAUGGAAGCACUUUCACCCACUGAGCCAUCUUGUCAACCCUCCUCUGUUCCCUCUGCCUCACUCAAAGACUUUCAACUUGGAGAGCCGACCUCAAUAUAGAACCUGUCCAGAAGCUUCCAGAAAGCCCAACCACAGAUCACUGGAGCUUCUGUUCUUGAUGGGGAUUCGUGUGACUGGUGUGGGUCUUAAUGACACUGGGAAUUGUGUCUAAUUGGGAAUGUCGCUUUCCUAGGACACCUAACCCAGAGCAGACAAUGCCCUGCCCAGACAACGCUUCACAUAAAUGCUUCAAUAGACUUUGUAGAACAAGCAAAAUAUAUUAAAAUCAUCUGCACAGCUA
Molecule: long non-coding RNA, 576 nt
Organism: Microtus oregoni (creeping vole)
Lineage: Eukaryota; Metazoa; Chordata; Mammalia; Rodentia; Cricetidae
Exons: 2
Source: RefSeq, a predicted model, not a curated record